Molecule: ribosomal RNA, 119 nt
Filed under: Pteropus alecto (black flying fox)
Lineage: Eukaryota; Metazoa; Chordata; Mammalia; Chiroptera; Pteropodidae
Source: RNAcentral
AUCUACGGCCAUGCUACCCUGAACAAGCCCAAUCCCAUCUGAUCUUGGAAGCUAAGCAGGGUCGGGCCUGGUUACUACUUGGAUGGGAGACCAUCUAGGAAGACCGGGUGCUGUAGGUG